GGCGUGCAGGAGGGCGGCGGGGCGCCGGGCAUCGCUGUGCGCCCCCUCCCCCCGGCUCGGGGGGACACGGAGGGACACGGGGACGACCCCUCGGUGGGGGUCCAGGGCGGUUCUUGGGUUCUCCCUUCCCGCAGCAGCCGCGCCCCGGCUCGCCGCCCCGGGACAGGCGGCGCCCAGCCCCGCCGAGGACCGGCUGCCCUGCCCGGUUCAGCGGCACCGAAGGGCGAGCGGAGACCGGGCACGGCCUCGCCCAGCCGCGGGCUGGCACUUUUAUCCCCCCGCACGGUCAAAGUCUCCGAGCACGGCAGCAUCCUGCCUGCCUCCCCCGCUCAUCCCUCCCGCCGCCGCUACUCACCCACGCCGCAGCCGGCAACGGCGGCAGCGCCCCGCCGGCUCCCCGAGCCCCCUUGUCCCCUCUUCGCCCCCUCAGGGACCCUCCUGGACCCGCAGCGCUGCGGGCGGAGCCGCCGGAGCGAGCGGCGGCUGCACCUCGGAUGCCGGCUCCGGUCCCCACCCCGGGCUCCCUCCCCGGCUGUCACCGGCGGCCCGCCCUCGGGAGGCGGUGGCCCCGAGCCGAGCUCGCCAGUGGCGCCGGGCCCUGCCGCUCCCCGCAGCCCCGCCUCGGGCGGGCGGAGAGCCCCGGCACCGCCACACCGGGGAGCGGUGGUGGUCGUGGUGGUGGUGGUCGUGGAGGUGGUGGCGGGGAAGGGUGGCGGUGGUGGCGCAGAGGGGCGCGGGGCGGCGGCUGAGGGGAGCGGGUGGCUCUCGGUGGAUAAACGGGGGACCACGGACACGAGGCGGCUGCUCCGCGGGUCCUGCUGGGUUUUAGUCCCAGCUCUCUGGGCAGCGUUUGCCAGGGACCCCCAAAAGCCUCCUCCCACCCCCCGUCCCAAAGCGCGAUGUGCCCCCCGAAAUGUCCCCAGCCUGAGGGGAGCGGUGCCCGCCGAAGCCGUGCCAGCCCAGCUGGUCUCCCUUUUGGGACCCUUCUUGGCUUGCCACCCAAAUACAGGUGGGCCCCAACCCUCCAAGAGUACAGUGCUGAAAGGGAUUUAUCGAUUUAAUUUUUUUGUUAGGGGCUAUCGUUGCACAGAAUUAGAGCUGUCAGAUUAA
Molecule: long non-coding RNA, 1110 nt
Filed under: Anas platyrhynchos platyrhynchos (common mallard)
Lineage: Eukaryota; Metazoa; Chordata; Aves; Anseriformes; Anatidae
Description: lncRNA (ENSAPLG00000029112.1)
Source: RNAcentral